CCGCGGGCCGGUGUUACGAGAUUUUCGGUUUCCGAAGGCGGAGCACGUGCAACUGAGAAUUUUAGUUCACAUUGUAAAUCAGCACAUUACUGGAUUAUUUCAUAAAGUUUCCAGGUGUAGAAAGUGAACAGUGCGAGUGACACUAUUGUAAAGAUGGAGUUUAUUAAAGAGGAGAGUGAAGACGAGUGAUGCAGAAACAUGCAGAAUGAAUGAUGAAGAAACUGAGGAACAGAGAGACAUGACGGAAGUGAAAGUGGAGUGUGAAGAACUGAAUGUAGUGGAGGAGGAUCAUCAGUAUCAGAGACCUCAGAAGGUCAUAACGGGAGAAAAGUCGACACAGUACGAAAGUGAUUUCUCCCAGAAAAGAACAGGAACCAAAAAACCACCAUUCAUCUGUCCUCAGUGUGGGAAGUGUUUUAUACUCAAAGUUAACCUUAAAAUCCAAAUCAAAAUUCACACCGGAGAGCGUGAUUUCACCUGUCUGCAAUGUGGCAGUAGCUUCUUCAAAAACGCUGAUCUGAAGAGACACCUGCAAACACACACCGGAGAGAAGCCGUUCAGCUGCCCUCACUGCGGGAAGAGCUUCACACACAAAGAGAGCCUGGAGAAUCACAUCCGGAUCCACACCGGAGAGAAGCCUUUCACCUGCCUACUGUGUGCCAAGAGCUUCAUACGCAAAGGACACUUUAAGAACCACAUGCGCAUUCACUCCGGAGAGCGUCCGUUCACGUGUCACGAGUGUGGGAAGAGCUUCACGCAGGCCACCGUCCUCAAAAACCACCAGCACUCGCACUCGGGAGAGAGACCGUUCAGCUGCGGCCAAAUAUCUGAAAGAGCAUCAGAAGGUCCAUACAGGAGAGAAACCCUACAAGUGCUCACAUUGUGACAAGAGCUUCAGUCAGUCAGGGAACCUGAAAAUACACGAGAGUGUUCACACCGGAGAGAAGCCGCACCGCUGCCCGCAACAAACUGAUGCACUGUGUAUUCUGACACCUUUCUACCAGAACCAGCAUUAACUUCUUGAGCAGUUUGAGCUACAGUAGCUCGUCUGUUGAAUCGGACCACACGGGUCAGCCUUCUCUCCCCACGUGCAUCAGUAAGCCUUGUCCGCCCAUGACCCUGUUGCUGGUUCACCACUGUUCCUUCCUUGGAGCACUUUUGAUAGAUACUGACCACUGCAGACCGGGAACACCCCACAAGAGCUGCAGUUUUGGAGAUGCUCUGACCCAGUCUAGCCAUCACAAUUUGGCCCUUGUCAAACUCACUCAAAUCUUGCAGUGUCUUGUAAAUUACCUGGCUCUCAUCUCUCCAGUAUCCGAAAUAUUCCCAAACUACAGAUGUUGAUUUUUUGGGGGUCAAGUUCUUAUCCUGGCCUGAAUUCACCUUCCCUGUUUGCUUUCUUUCAUGUCGUAACGAUAAACCCGGUCUGUUCUGUUCUCAUGCUGGAUUUAGGCGCGCUGCAUUCAGAUUGCACACUGCGGGGGCUGGUGGAAAAAAAAUCAUGCUUUCAUUGUGGUUUUAUUACGAUUUCAAUUAAUGUGCAGACCUAAUACUGGCUGCGUUUAACUUCCCCUCGGGGGAAUCCCUGCUGCAUUCUGAAGUGCAUUCAACUUCAUCAAGUGGACAAGGGCAGUUUAUUUGGACAGACCCUCGACCCCUCGAUUUUGACCGAGGCCACAACGUAACGUGAUUGUGAUGUCACAACAGCAUCUCACAGUGCUUACACAUGCGAAAGGGAACUAAAGAGAAAGAGUACUAAAAAAUUGUUCUUAAGUAUUGCUACUUAAAAUAAUUUGCUCAAGUACAUGUAGAAGUACUAAAACAUAAUAUGACUCAAGUAAGAGUAAAUAAGUAGAUGACAGUUAGAAGAGAGUUAUAAGUAGAUAGAAAAACUAAAUAAAAAAAAAAUAAAAAAACCUAAAAACUAUUCAAGUUACUAUGUUGCAAAGUAUUUUAGUAUUAUUAUUUAUUUAUUUUAUUUUUACCCAAACUGAGGUGAUGUUAGCAAUAUGGAGAGCUAAACACUCAAAUGUAAUUUCAUUUAUACCGGAAGCCGGAUCAGCUGAGCUCACAAUGCUUUCGCUGCCCAGCAUGAUUUCUUCUCCAACAAUCCUAAAGAUUGCUCAUAUGAUUUUAUGUUUAACAUCUACAACUUCACCUUUAUUUAAGGAGAAUCUCUCUGCAUCUGCUCAUGUAGCUUCAAUAAUACAACAGACAAGUGAACUUUUCAAACAAAAACAAUUGAUCUUAACUUUAUAUGUAUGAUUUUAUUUGCAUGUGAAUGUAAAUGUGGUGAAAUUAUAAUUGCUAAACAAAAUGCAUUGGACGAUCUAGACCAGAGCAAGUGAAAGACACACAAAUGCUGUUAACUGGUAAAAUGUUUAGUUGGUCUGACUAGAAGAGACUCCAUCCACAGAACAAAGACAAUAUACUGUAUAUCUGUGCAUUAACAACAGACACAUAGAUAACUUAAUAUAAAAUAAAACAGAAUAACAAAAAUAAGCAAAUAUAUUCUGUGCAUAAAAUGUAAGAGAGAUAAUGUAAAUGUUUGAAAUAACAUGUACUUCAUAUUUUUGACACAUUUAUGUGCUAUACUUGACAAUCACGUUUAUGAUUAUAAACAUUUUAAUCAUUAUGGAUGAGUUCAAUCCAAACAUUAUUAUAUUUGUAGGCCUGAUACUGAAGAGCCUGAAGAUUUCUGCUGACAGACUCAUCUGAGCUUCUUCCUCCUGUUCACCUUUAAAUAAAACAAAACCAUCAUUUGUCUGAAUACUAAAGCAACAUUAAUCAUUCAAUAUCACGUUUCUAACACACAUGCUGCUUUAUUUCAUUGUAAAGUCUGAGUCUCUUCCAUCUGUAUGAAACACAUUUACACAUUAAUCACACAUUUAUUUCUCCUCAUAGACACAGUAGUGAGACUCUUCUGUGGAUCACCUGAUGAUUACUGCUCCUCUCA
Long non-coding RNA from Ctenopharyngodon idella (grass carp), 2956 nucleotides. RefSeq lists it as uncharacterized. Lineage: Eukaryota; Metazoa; Chordata; Actinopteri; Cypriniformes; Xenocyprididae. The transcript has 3 exons. The record is from RefSeq and is a predicted model, not a curated record.